Non-coding RNA from Danionella cerebrum, 64 nucleotides. The record is from the annotation of a GenBank genome assembly. NCBI's taxonomy places the organism in Eukaryota, Metazoa, Chordata, Actinopteri, Cypriniformes, Danionidae.
AGCAGAGUGGCGCAGCAGAAGCGUGCUGGGCCCAUAACCCAGAGGUCGAAACCAUUCUCUGCUA